This 182-nucleotide ribosomal RNA is filed under the name uncultured bacterium. RNAcentral's name for it is "partial 16S ribosomal RNA". It matches the Rfam family "Bacterial small subunit ribosomal RNA", at positions 1317 to 1500 of the family's 1533-position model. The record is from RNAcentral.
UUCAUGAAGCUGGAAUUGCUAGUAAUGGCAGGUCAGCAUACUGCCGUGAAUACGUUCCCGGGCCUUGUACACACCGCCCGUCACACCAUGAGAGUUGGGAAUACCCGAAGCCUGUGAGCUAACAUAUGAGGCAGCAGUCGAAGGUAGAAUCAAUGAUUGGGGUGAAGUCGUAACAAGGUACC